UGGGGAAUAUUGCACAAUGGAGGGAACUCUGAUGCAGCGACGCCGCGUGAACGAAGAAGGCUUUCGAGUCGUAAAGUUCUUUUAUAUGGGAAGAUAAUGACGGUACCAUAAGAAGAAGCCCCGGCUAACUACGUGCCAGCAGCCGCGGUAAUACGUAGGGGGCUAGCGUUGUCCGGAAUCACUGGGCGUAAAGGGUUCGCAGGCGGAAAUGCAAGUCAGGUGUAAAAGGCAGUAGCUUAACUACUGUAAGCAUUUGAAACUGCAUAUCUUGAGAAGAGUAGGGGUAAGUGGAAUUUUUAGUGUAGCGGUGAAAUGCGUAGAUAUUAAAAAGAAUACCGGUGGCGAAGGCGACUUACUGGGCUCAUUCUGACGCUGAGGAACGAAGGCGUGGGUAGCAAACAGG
This 403-nucleotide ribosomal RNA is filed under the name bacterium. RNAcentral's name for it is "partial 16S ribosomal RNA". It matches the Rfam family "Bacterial small subunit ribosomal RNA", at positions 355 to 776 of the family's 1533-position model. The record is from RNAcentral.